CCUCGGUGGUAGCCCCGCCGCGGCCGGGUGAGCGCGGGCCUCGGCCCCGGGGUGACGGCACGGAGCGCUAGGGUGCGCGCCCGCGGGCCGCGUGGGCAUGACGCGGUGCCUCCCUGGGCUCCGAGCCGUGUCUGGGAGGAGCGCUAACCCCCUCAGGCGGCCGGGCCGGACUUUCGUCCCUACGGCCCUCCUAGAGCGGAGGGCGCGCGUUGCGGGCUGCUCCCCGUGGGCUGGCGUGGAGGUCGUGUCCCGUGGUCGCUGCUGGGGACGACAUCGCCGGCCGGACUCGCGCAUGGCCGAGAGUGACGAGCGGCUCCCCGCGCAUGUGCCGGCGCGCUUGCCGUUCGCGUCUACCGCUUGAGGUUUUCCUCGAGGGCGUCCCAGCCCAUGUCUAAUAUUCCACCUUAAAUGCAGGGGAGGUAGACUGUUUACAAAGUUUCCUGUCCUCUAAAACUUCGUAUGAUGAGAUUCUGUCACUUCUGUCAUCAAAAGGUGGAGUCUACUUGUCCUUCCCUUGAAUCUAUGCCGGCCUGUGACUUGCUUUGGCCAAGAGAACACGGGAAUAAUCGUUCUGCAAGAGGAAGUGCUUACAGCUCUUGGCACACUGCCACGAGACUGCCAUGCAUAGGUCAUGUGGAUUGGAACCCAGGUGCCCCCAACUAAAGCCCAGCGGGGGCCUUGUUCCCAGCUGAUUCACCACCUGAGUGCAACCACAGUUCUAUUCCAGGAACACUCAAAUCUCUGGCUGACUCCACCUGCCUUUUACAUUCCAGACUCACGUCUUGAAAUGACAGUAGGAUGCCUCCAGCUUCCAGCCUCUCCUGGGUCGUAAUUUCAGCACAUCCCAAACUGAAAUCAAAGUGCCCUCAAAGCUGAACUCACGGUUUCCCCCAUAUUUCCAUUGGCAUCACCACCAUCCUCCAUGCAUUCAGGCUUAAAACCAGCCCCUGUACAAUAUUAUUCUGAGUCCAGCCAAUUCUUCCUCCAAAACGCCUCUAACAGCGAUUACUUCCCUUUUAUUCCCCUAUUACCAUUUACAUGGCAAUAAAAUUUGCAAUACAGUAA
Molecule: long non-coding RNA, 1065 nt
Organism: Herpailurus yagouaroundi (jaguarundi)
Lineage: Eukaryota; Metazoa; Chordata; Mammalia; Carnivora; Felidae
Exons: 3
Source: RefSeq, a predicted model, not a curated record